GUAAACGAUGUCGAUUUGGAGGUUGUGCCCUUGAGGCGUGGCUUCCGGAGCUAACGCGUUAAAUCGACCGCCUGGGGAGUACGGCCGCAAGGUUAAAACUCAAAUGAAUUGACGGGGGCCCGCACAAGCGGUGGAGCAUGUGGUUUAAUUCGAUGCAACGCGAAGAACCUUACCUGGUCUUGACAUCCACAGAACUUUCCAGAGAUGGAUUGGUGCCUUCGGGAACUGUGAGACAGGUGCUGCAUGGCUGUCGUCAGCUCGUGUUGUGAAAUGUUGGGUUAAGUCCCGCAACGAGCGCAACCCUUAUCCUUUGUUGCCAGCGGUCCGGCCGGGAACUCAAAGGAGACUGCCAGUGAUAAACUGGAGGAAGGUGGGGAUGACGUCAAGUCAUCAUGGCCCUUACGACCAGGGCUACACACGUGCUACAAUGGCAUAUACAAAGAGAAGCGACCUCGCGAGAGCAAGCGGACCUCAUAAAGUAUGUCGUAGUCCGGAUUGGAGUCUGCAACUC
RNAcentral lists this ribosomal RNA (511 nucleotides) under Klebsiella pneumoniae. RNAcentral's name for it is "bacterial SSU rRNA". It matches the Rfam family "Bacterial small subunit ribosomal RNA", at positions 802 to 1313 of the family's 1533-position model. Lineage: Bacteria; Pseudomonadati; Pseudomonadota; Gammaproteobacteria; Enterobacterales; Enterobacteriaceae. The record is from RNAcentral.